Molecule: ribosomal RNA, 253 nt
Filed under: uncultured bacterium
Lineage: Bacteria
Description: partial 16S ribosomal RNA
Rfam family: Bacterial small subunit ribosomal RNA
Source: RNAcentral
UACAGAGGGGGCAAGCGUUAUUCGGAAUUAUUGGGCGUAAAGGGCGCGUAGGCGGCCUGGCAAGUGGAAGGUGAAAUCCCUCGGCUUAACCGAGGAACUGCCCUCCAAACUGCUUGGCUUGAGUCCGGGAGAGGUGAGUGGAAUUCCCAGUGUAGCGGUGAAAUGCGUAGAUAUUGGGAGGAACACCGGUGGCGAAGGCGGUUCUCUGGGCCUUACCUGACGCUGAGGAGCGAAAGCGUGGGGAGCGAACAGG